Long non-coding RNA from Caretta caretta (loggerhead turtle), 1962 nucleotides. RefSeq lists it as uncharacterized. Lineage: Eukaryota; Metazoa; Chordata; Testudines; Cheloniidae. The record is from RefSeq and is a predicted model, not a curated record.
UCCCGCCAGCAAAUCAACAGCGCCUCUGGCGGGCUCUUCCGCCGGUCCCAGGAGGUACUCGCCCUCAACCCACCGAGAGGGGGGGCGCGGCCAGGAAGGUGUCCCGCCCCCAGACUCCUCCCCUCUCUCGCUCCAGAGCGGAGGUGCCGAGAGCCCUGGGCGAGCGGGAGGGGCGCGCGAGGCGGGCACGCGCCGCGUCGGCCCGGCUGAAAGCCCGCGGGUACGAGGCCCGGCCCGCCUUAGCCGCGGGCGGGAGCCGGGGCCCCUGACGCUGACUGACGGACUGCUGAGCCGGGGACCGCAGCUCCGCUCGCGGGCCCGGGGGGCGGGGGCAGCGUCGCCCUGCCUGGGGCCCGAGCCCAGGGCGCGCCGGCCCCUGGGGGACGCCGAAACAAGCGCCCCGCGUGCCGGGCCCCCGCCCCCGGCGCCCUAACCCCUGUCACCCGCGCUGCGCUGCGCCUGCGAAGGCCGAGCCGUUCCCCGAGGCGGUCACCCAGGCGGGUGGGGGGGCGGUCACACGCCACAGCAAACCGCCCUGGCUCAGGGACCCUUGUAGCCUGCCACGCCUUCGGGGCGCCCUCGGCCGGGUUCCCGGGAAGAGAGGUACGGGACCUGCAGCGGGGGGGAUCACGGGUCGGGGGGCACUAUGGCUCCCUGCCGGGCAGCAAGCCCAGGACCCAGCGCCAGCCGUCAGUCAGCGCCUCCUUAAGGGCCCCCUUGCCUCAGCGCCGGGGGUGGGAGGACAGGGCGGGCGCUGUGGUUUGCAGGCGAAUAUAGACCAACCAGCUGUGGGUGCAAGGGAAUAGACGCACGUGGCUGUUUCUGCUCUGCGGAAGACCCGCCGAGGGCCUUGCCCAUUGCAUGUUGUUUGAAAACCAUGCUCUGAGAGAGAACGCUCAAAAAAGAAGCCAUGUAUAGAAACCUUUUAUAUAUGGUAACCCUCGUUACUCGAAUGCUCCCUACCUUUUUUUUCAUUUAACAAAAGGGAUUACACCUUCAGCUAUCAAUUUGUGGCAUUCUCUAGGAGUUGCCAUAAAAAGCCAGAUUACCAGGGAAGCUGCAUACCAAACCACCUCUGGUCUUGGUGAAUGGAAGCUGCCCGCUUUGCAAGCCACGCUCCUGAGCACUCUAGAAAGGUUGCUUACAAAAAAAUACAACAUUAAGCUGCAAGUGCCGCACACUGUGGAAGAGACUUCAUACUUCUGAACAGGACCUGCCUGUCAAACAGCAACCUAUUGCUCCAGGCCAUGAAUGGAGAACAGAGAAAAUCUAGAGGUGCCCUCAGUCUCCUGGGAUGCAACCUGAAGUCUGGUUUUGAAAGUUGCGAGUUUAAAACCCAACUGUGAGGGUAUGUCUACACUUCAAUUAAAAACCCAUGCCUGGCCCGUGGGGCUUGGGCUCAGGGUCUGUUUAAUUGUGGUAUAGAUGAAAUUAAACAGACCCUUAUCCCGAGCUGAGUCAGCUGGCACAAGCCAGCUGCAGGUGUCUAACUGCAGCAUAGACAUACACUGAGCGUAUUAAGUCAGUGACCUUUGGAAACAAGUGUGGGUGCAAAGGUGGAUGAGCUCUGCUGGUUUACCAGCUGUAUUUACUGGCAGCAGGUUCCUUUGCAAACUACUUCUAGUCUGUGAUUUUCAUUUUGCUCCUUUAUUUUCCAUUACUAAGGAAACAGAUGCAUUUACUUCUUAAGUGUUUGCUUUCAGUCCUAUACCAUGAAACGGGCUGUACAAAAAAUACCAAGUAUUUUCAUAAAAAAAUUAAUUUUGUUUCAGGACAUUUUGAAGCCCCAAGGAAAUUCAUAAAGUAGUUUUUACAUCAGAACAUGACAAAAUAUGCAUUUCUCAUGUAUUUGAACAGGACUUUGAAUUUCAAAAAUUGAAGUUUUUGCAUUUGAGCAAAAGUGAGCUCAUUUUCAAUCCAGCUGUAUUACUUUCGAGAUUAAACAAGCUAAAUUUUACCGUA